CAAACUACGGCCCGCGGGCCGGAUACGGCCCGUCAGCACAUUUGGCCCGGCCCUCUGAACAAUACCAGAGACGCUAUCGAAUUUUUUUCCUAUUUGGCCUCCAGAAAAAAAAUCCUAGGCCCGGCCCUGUCAAAGAGAGAACGGAAUAAUGGCGAAAAGGUUAGGUAAGAGAAAAAUUUAUUCAGAAUGCAGGGUAUUUAACCUGCAGUGGACAAACAUUUUUUUUUUUGUUCAAUGCAAAGAAAAGGCUGUUUGUCUCAUCUGUCAAGAGACGGUGGCGGUAUUCAAAGAAUACAAUCUUCGCCGACACUAUGAAUCCCGUCACAAAGACAAGUACGAUAGCUUGCAAGGCCAAAUACGAGCAGACAAACUCUCAAAGCUAAAAAGUGGACUACUAUCUCAGCAGAAUACAUUUGUACGCCAAGCUCAGCUGAACCAGGCAUCCGUUCGGGCCAGCUUUCGGGUUGCUAAACUGAUAGCAAGAAGCGGUAAGCCUUUCACUGACGGAGAGUUUGUUAAGAAAUGUAUGGAUGCUGUCGCGGAGGAGGUGUGUCCCGAGAAGAAAGAUGCAUUUAAUGCCGUAAGUCUGUCGGCGAGUACAAUCACCAGACGCGUUGAAGAAAUCGAGAGUAAUGUAUAUGCCCAGCUGCAGCAGAAGACGAAAGAAUUUGACUUUUUUUCAUUAGCACUGGAUGAGAGCACGGACGUGCAAGACACAGCGCAACUGCUCAUUUUUAUUCGUGGAGUUAGCGCAAACUUUGAGAUAUGCGAGGAGCUGGCAGCCCUCCAAAGUCUCAAAGGGACUACAACGGGAGAGGAUAUUUUUGACAAAGUGUGCCAAACCAUGGAGAAGUUGGACUUGGACUGGUCAAAGCUAGCUAGCAGUUUUUGGCAGCACGUAUAUCUGCGAGAAAACCUUUUCUCGCAUGAAACUGCUGAAAACCCCGAUGAGAUCAAGAUUGACAGAUGAACAUUUGCAUCAGUGCUUGAGACUGGCUGUAACUAGAAUGGAACCUGAUAUUCAACUUCUCACCAGCCAGAUGCAGGCCCACAGUUCACACUGAUGAACAUACAUAGGGAAGUUGAUGAGAGAGAGCUGCAAACAGCGGUGUCUACAAGCCUACUGGAACCUACAAAAGGAUUAUAAGGAAGGAACACAAGAACUUUAAGAGACUGCUCAUAUGUGUCAGAGAUUCUGCUCUGACAACUGAGCUGAACUUUUAUCUGUUAAGAUUGUGCAUGGCACGACAGAAAGUUAAUGUUCCAUGGCUUUUUUUUCUAUGAAGAACCCAGAGAGAGUUAUUUAGUUAUUAUUUAUUUCCUGUUUUUUCUGUGAAGAACUCAGAGAGGGUUAUUUAGUUAUUAUUUAUUUCAUUAAUAGUGUUAUUAUUUGUUUCCUGACUUUUUUUCUGUAAAGAACCUGGAAAGGGUUAUUUGGUUAUGUGUGGCUUUCUGGAAAACAAUAAAAAUUUUAAGCUCCC
Long non-coding RNA from Oncorhynchus nerka (sockeye salmon), 1481 nucleotides. RefSeq lists it as uncharacterized. NCBI's taxonomy places the organism in Eukaryota, Metazoa, Chordata, Actinopteri, Salmoniformes, Salmonidae. The transcript is spliced from 2 exons. The record is from RefSeq and is a predicted model, not a curated record.